CAAAGGCAAAGUAAAUGUACAGUCUGAUUGCUGUUUCUGAGAUUUUUAUAUAAUAGUGGUUUGUUUUAGAUCAAAUUCACAUUGGGCCUUUUUUAAUUGAGGCUAAUUGUGGGAUAGCUAAGGGAAAUUAAAAUUUGAUUUUUUUAUUAUGAUAAUGUUCAUUGUAUAAUUUAUUUUGAAAAGGAAGCUUUUAAAAAAUAAGUUGAAUAGCUGCAUGAUGUGCCCCAUACUUCAAAAUCCACUGUAAGUCAUGUGCCUUCAUUGAUUGAUUGGACUAGUAUUUAUUGAUUACCUCUGUCCAGAGUCUUGCCCAUUCUCUUAUGUUCAGAUUUUCUCCUUUAAUGUCUCAUUUAAUUUAGUUUACCUCUUUUGCAGUCAUGGUCUGAAUUAAUCAUACAGUUUGAGUCAAAGUUUGCUGCCACCAGAUGGUAUGAGGCCUCAGACUCAGGAUAGAUGUCAGCCAUGCCUUCCUUUCCUCCCCAGAGCUCUUCAGGUGAGGUGUCUCUGGCCAGAGUCACCCACGAUGAUGGCCAUGGACUUGGAAAUCAGACCGUUGGGACCAUUUGGCUUCUGCCAUUUAGCUGUGUGACUUUGGGAAAUUUUCUUUAAGCAGGUAAAACGUUACUUAUUUUAUAAUGUUAUAUUCCAUUAGGUAAUACAUGUAAAGUAGUUAGCAUAAAGCUUGGCACUUGGUAACCUGAACAAAUAGUAUUACCUUUAAUAAAUGCUUAUUUUAUUAAACUCAAAGUUAGCAGAGGAUAGAUGUAAUAAAGAUUAGAGCAGAGAGAAAUAAAAUAGAGAAUAGAAAAGUAAACAAUAGGGACAAUCAAACCAAAAGUUGGUACUUUGAAAAGAUCGGCAAAAUUAACAAGUUUUCAGUUAAAUGGACUGAAUAAAAGAGAAGACUCAAGUUACUAAAUUCAGAAAUGAAAAUGAGGUUAUCAGUAUGGAUUCUACAGAAAAUGGAUGAGAAGAGAGUACUAUGAACAAUUGUACGCCGAAAAAAACGUUGGAUAGACUAGAUGAAAUGGUUAAAUCACGGAAAAAUAGAAACCUGAAUAAACCUAUAUAACUAGUAAAGGGAUUUAAUCAGUAAUCAAAAAUUUCCCAAAGACAAGUCCUGGUCCUGAUGGCUUCAAUGGUGAAUUUUAUCAAACAUUUAUUUUUUUAUUUUUAUUUUUAUUUUUUUUGUCUUUUUGCUAUUUCUUGGGCUGCUCGCUCGGCAUAUGGAGGUUCACAGGCUAGGGGUCGAAUUGGAGCUGCAGCCACCGGCCUACGCCAGAGCCACAGCAACGCUGGAUCUGAGCCGCGUCUGCAACCCACACCACAGCUCACGGCAACACCAGAUCGUUAACCCACUGAACAAGGGCAGGGACUGAACCCGCAACCUCAUGGUUCCUAGUCAGAUUCGUUAACCACUGCGCCAUGAACGGAACUCCGAAUUUUGUCAAACAUUUAAAGAAGAGUUAAUACCAAUCCCUCUCAAAUGUUACCAAAAAAUUGAAGAGGAGGGAAUCCUUCCUAACUCUUAUUCAGUCAGGUCAGCAUAACCCUGAUAAUCAAAACAGGCAAAGAUACUACCAGAAAAGAAAACUAAAAAUCAAUAUCUCUUAUAAACCAAUACAAAAAUCUUCAGCAAACUACUGGCAAAUAGAAUUCAGCAUCAUAUUAAAAGAAUUAUACACUAUGACCAAGUGGGGUGUAUUCCUGGAAUGCCAGGGUGGUUCAACACACAAUUCAACACACAAAAAUCAGUCAAUGUAAUGCACCUCAUCAAUAAAGUGAAUAGAAAACACCCCUCAUAGUCGUCUCAACCCAUGCAGAAAAAAGCAUUUAAGAAAAUUCAAUGCCCUUUCAUGAUAAAAACACUCCACUAAAUAGGAAUAGAAGGAAAGUGCUUUAACACAAUAAAGGUCAUGUAUGAAAAAUCCACAGCAAACAAGGAGAGGAUGCCUGCUUUCACUACUUAUAUUCACCAUAGUGCUGGAAGUUCUAUCCUGAGCAAUUAGGCAAGGAAAAGAAAGACAAAGCAUCCAAACUGGAAAGAAAGAAGUAAAAUUAUUUGUUUACAGGUAAUAUUAUAUGUAGAAAACCUUAAAGAGGCCAUGAAAAGUUCUUAGAACUAAUAAAUGAAUCCAGCAAAGUAGCAGCAUAGUAAGUCCACAUGCAAAAAUCAAUUUUAUCUCUAUGCACAGUGAACAAUUUAGAAAGGAAAUUACAAAAAUAAUUCCAUAUACCAUUAGCAUCAAAAAGAAUAAAAUCCUUAGGAACUAACCAAAAUGAAAGACUUGUACAAUGAAAACUAUAAAACAUUGCUGAAAAAAAUUUACAUAAAUAAAUGGGAACACAUUAAUAGAUUAGAAUAUUUAUUAUUGCUAAAAUAAUACUACCCAAGUGAUCUACAGAUAGAAUGGAAUCAUUAGCAAAGUCCCCAUGAAGUUUUUUUUUCUUUUUUUUUUGGCAGAAAUAAAAAAAUCCAUUCUAAAAUUCAUAUGGAAUCUCAAGGGGGCCCAAAUUGCCAAAACAUCUUGGAAAGGAACAAAACUGGAAGAUACACACUUCUUGAUUUCAAAACUUACUAUAAAGCCACAGUAAUGAAAACAGUGUAGCAGUUUUGACAUAAAGAGAGGUAUAUUACAUAGACCAAUGAAUAGAAUAGAGAGUCCAGAAAGAAACUCAUACUUAUGGUCAAAAGAUUUUUGGCAAGGUUGGCAAGGCCAUUUGAUGGGGAAAAGACAAUGUUUUCAAAAAACAGUGCUGUGAAAACUGUCCAGAUGCCAAAAAUGAAGUUGAAUCCUUAUGUAACAUCAUAUACAAAAUCUAACUCAAAAUGAAUCAAGGACCUAAAUGUACGACCCAAAAGAGUAAAACUCUUAGAAACAUAGGACAAAAGCUUCACAACAUUGUAUUUGGCACUUCUUAGAUACAACAUCAAAGGCACAGCAAACAAAAGGAAACAAUAGACAAAUCAGGCCUUAUGGAAAUAUUUUAAAUUUGUGCAUUCUAAGACACUAUCCACACAGUAAAAAGGCAACUUACAGAAGGGGAAAAAAUACUUGCAUAUCUGAUAAAGUUUUAAUAUAAAAACAUAGAGAAUUUUCAAAAACUCAAUGGCAAAACCCCUAACCCAAUUCAAAAAUAGGCAAAAGACUUUAAAUAGGUAUUCCUCCAAAGAAGAUAAAUGAAAGGCCAACAAGCGUGUGAAAAGAUGUUCAACAUCACUACUCAUUAGGAAAAUGCAAACCAAAACUUUAAUGAGAUACCUCAUACUCAUUAGGAUGGCUA
RNAcentral lists this long non-coding RNA (3285 nucleotides) under Sus scrofa (pig). Its description in RNAcentral is "lncRNA (ENSSSCG00000057059.1)". The record is from RNAcentral. Lineage: Eukaryota; Metazoa; Chordata; Mammalia; Artiodactyla; Suidae.